UGGAGUGUAGCUCAGUGGUAGAGCACUUGCCUAGCAUGUAUGAGAUCUCGGAUUCAAUCCUCAGCACAGCAG
This 72-nucleotide transfer RNA is filed under the name Heterocephalus glaber (naked mole-rat). It matches the Rfam family "tRNA". From Rfam's summary of the family: Transfer RNA (tRNA) molecules are approximately 80 nucleotides in length. Their secondary structure includes four short double-helical elements and three loops (D, anti-codon, and T loops). Lineage: Eukaryota; Metazoa; Chordata; Mammalia; Rodentia; Bathyergidae. The record is from Rfam by way of RNAcentral.